UUCCCUUAGUAAUGGCGAAUGAACAGGGAUAAGCUCAGCAUGGAAAUUGGGGCCUCUGGCCUUGAAUUGUAGUCUUGAGAUGUGCUACCAACGGAGGCGCAGAUGUAAGCCUCUUGGAAAAGAGCGUCAGGGAGGGUGAGAGUCCCGUAUGUCAUCUGCAGUUCUCUGUGCACGGUACAUUUUCUAAGAGUCACGUUCCUCGGGAUUGGAGCGCAAAUUGGGUGGUAAAUUUCAUCUAAAGCUAAAUAUUGGUUCGAGACCGAUAGCAAACAAGUACCAUGAGGGAAAGGUGAAAAGGACUUUGAAAAGAGAGUUAAAAGUGCCUGAAAUUGCUGAAAGGGAAGCGAAUGGAACCAGUUGUUCUUGGCGAGUAUUGGUGUUGUCUAAAGUGAGGGCUUGCCACUUCAGCGCAAGUGUGGUGGCAGGUUUUGAUCUGGAUGCGAUACUGCAUCUCGCCUUGCAUGUCAACGUCAGUUCAUAAUUGAGGAAAACUCUAAGGACUUGGUAAUUUGCUUCCGGGUGACUGAAUGUCCCUAGUGGAACUCAUUUUUGAACUGCUUUUUGUAUGUCUUGUUGCAGUGCUCUGUGUGCUUGCCUGUGAUCCGGUGCUUGCUCUGUUUGGCAUGGGGUUGCUGGUGCCUGGAGCAUGUCCUUGACAUAAGUACGAUGACAAAAU
Molecule: ribosomal RNA, 676 nt
Filed under: Karenia selliformis
Lineage: Eukaryota; Dinophyceae; Gymnodiniales; Kareniaceae
Description: partial large subunit ribosomal RNA
Rfam family: Eukaryotic large subunit ribosomal RNA
Source: RNAcentral